CGAAAAUCGCAAACCUUUUGAAAAAAAGGGGCGCAAAGCCCAUGGGCCUAAGGAUCCAGAAUCUAAGGCAGCCGGGUUACCGAA
This 84-nucleotide non-coding RNA is filed under the name uncultured Cohnella sp. RNAcentral's name for it is "Cyclic di-GMP-I riboswitch". It matches the Rfam family "c-di-GMP-I riboswitch aptamer". From Rfam's summary of the family: GEMM was predicted in a large-scale screen for bacterial structured RNA regulatory elements. The record is from RNAcentral. Lineage: Bacteria; Bacillati; Bacillota; Bacilli; Caryophanales; Paenibacillaceae.